GGCUCAGAACGAACGCUGGCGGCGUGCUUAACACAUGCAAGUCGAACGAGCCUUCGGGUUAGUGGCGGACGGGUGAGUAACGCGUGAGAAUCUGCCCUCAGGAGGGGGAUAACGGUUGGAAACGACCGCUAAUACCCCAUAUGCCGAGAGGUGAAAAGAAAUUCGCCUGAGGAUGAGCUCGCGUCUGAUUAGCUAGUUGGUGUGGUAAUGGCGCAGCAAGGCUUCGAUCAGUAGCUGGUCUGAGAGGAUGAUCAGCCACACUGGGACUGAGACAGAGCCCAGACUCCUACUUGCGGCAGCANUGG
Molecule: ribosomal RNA, 305 nt
Filed under: uncultured bacterium
Lineage: Bacteria
Description: bacterial SSU rRNA
Rfam family: Bacterial small subunit ribosomal RNA
Source: RNAcentral